ACUGGAGGUAGAGCUACUGAUUGGAUGCGGGGGCUUCACCGCCUACCAAAUCCUGACAAACUCCGAAUGCCAGUAGUAUGAUUUACAGCAGUGAGUGACUGGGUGCUAAUGUCCAGUCGCAAAAGAGGAACAACUCAGACCAGCAACUAAGGUCCCGAAGAAUAUGCUAAGUUGAUCUAACGAUGUUUUGUUGCAGAGACAGCUAGGAUGUUAGCUUGGAAGCAGCUAUUCAUUCAAAGAGUGCGUAACAGCUCACUAGUCGAGCGACAGAGCGUGGAUAAUAAACGGGCAUCAAGCAUAUCACCGAAGUUCUGGGCGCGAGAGCGCGGUAGGGGAGCAUUCCAUUCAGCGUCGAAGCAGUUUCGUGAGGAAUUGUGGAGCGUAUGGAAAAGCAAAUGUAGGCAUGAGUAACGAUAAUGCGGGAGAGUAACCCGCACACCGCAAGACCAAGGUUUCCUGAUCAACGCUAAUCGGAUCAGGGUUAGUCGGGUCCUAAGGGUAAGCCGAACGGCGAUCUCGAUGGAUAAUCGGUUAAUAUUCCGAUACUAACAUAUACCUCGAUGGAGAGACGAAGGAACGUAAGUGCCGCCACCUGACGGAAUAGGUGGUUAAAGGGCGUAGGUAUAGGGGCAGAUUAAGAGUUAGUCCUUGCUGAAACCUGACAGUACAGAGAGCCUACGGGCAAUUUGAUAGUGCACCCAAGUCGACUUCCGAGAAAAUCUUCUAAGUUAUAGUAUAUGUUACCCGUACCGUAAACCGACACAGGUGGUCGAGGAGAGUAUCCUAAGGUGCUCGAGUGAAUCACGGUUAAGGAACUAGGCAAAUUAACCCCGUAACUUCGGGAAAAGGGGUCCCUAUGAAAGUAGGGCGCAGCGAAGAGGUCCAGGCGACUGUUUAUCAAAAACACAGGGCUCUGCAAAUUCGAAAGAAGACGUAUAGGGCCUGACACCUGCCCGGUGCUGGAAGGUUAAGAGGGGAUGUCAUCGCAAGAGAAGCAUUGAAUCGAAGCCCCAGUAAACGGCGGCCGUAACUAUAACGGUCCUAAGGUAGCGAAAUUCCUUGUCGGGUAAGUUCCGACCUGCACGAAUGGUGUAACGAUCUGGACACUGUCUCAACCGUGAGCUCGGUGAAAUUGUAGUCCCGGUGAUGAUGCCGGGUACCCGCAACGGGACGAAAAGACCCCGUGAACCUUUACUAUAGCUUAACGCUGAAUUUGGGUACACAAUGUGUAGGAUAGGCCGGAGGCUUUGAAGCGGGCACGCCAGUGUUCGUGGAGCCGACGUUGAAAUACGGCCCUUUGUGUAUUUGAGUUCUAACCCUGCGAAGGGGACACCGUUUGGUGGGUAGUUUGACUGGGGUGGUCGCCUCCAAAAGCGUAACGGAGGCUUCCCAAGGUACCCUCAGCACGAAUGGUAACCGUGCGCGGAGUGCAAUAGCAUAAGGGUGCUUGACUGUGAGACAUACAAGUCGACCAGGUACGAAAGUAGGGUAUAGUGAUCCGGUGGUUCUGCGUGGACUGGCCAUCGCUCAAAGGAUAAAAGGUACUCCGGGGAUAACAGGCUGAUCGCCGCCAAGAGCUCAUAUCGACGCGGCGGUUUGGCACCUCGAUGUCGGCUCGUCACAUCCUGGGGCUGGAGAAGGUCCCAAGGGUUCGGCUGUUCGCCGAUUAAAGUGGCACGCGAGCUGGGUUCAGAACGUCGUGAGACAGUUCGGUCUCUAUCUGUUGCGGGCGUAGGAAGAUUGAGGGGUCCUGACUUUAGUACGAGAGGACCGAGUUGGACGAACCUCCGGUGUAUCGGUUAUGCUGCCAAGUGUACUGCCGAGUAGCCGCGUUCGGUCUGGAUAAGCGCUGAAAGCAUCUAAGCGCGAAGCCAUCCCCAAGAUAAGUCUUCCCUUGAGGGGCGUAGGAGACUACUACGUUGAUAGGCUGCAGGUGUAAAGACAGCAAUGUCAAAGCCGAGCAGUACUAAUUACCCGAUAGGCUUUCUU
Molecule: ribosomal RNA, 1989 nt
Filed under: human gut metagenome
Description: bacterial LSU rRNA
Rfam family: Bacterial large subunit ribosomal RNA
Source: RNAcentral